RNAcentral lists this ribosomal RNA (468 nucleotides) under uncultured bacterium. RNAcentral's name for it is "partial 16S ribosomal RNA". It matches the Rfam family "Bacterial small subunit ribosomal RNA", at positions 28 to 507 of the family's 1533-position model. The record is from RNAcentral.
GACGAACGCUGGCGGCGUGCUUAACACAUGCAAGUCGAACGGAAAGGCCCUGCUUUUGUGGGGUGCUCGAGUGGCGAACGGGUGAGUAACACGUGAGUAACCUGCCCUUGACUUUGGGAUAACUUCAGGAAACUGGGGCUAAUACCGGAUAGGAGCUCCUGCUGCAUGGUGGGGGUUGGAAAGUUUCGGCGGUUGGGGAUGGACUCGCGGCUUAUCAGCUUGUUGGUGGGGUAGUGGCUUACCAAGGCUUUGUCGGGUAGCCGGCCUGAGAGGGUGACCGGCCACAUUGGGACUGAGAUACGGCCCAGACUCCUACGGGAGGCAGCAGUGGGGAAUAUUGCACAAUGGGCGGAAGCCUGAUGCAGCAACGCCGCGUGCGGGAUGACGGCCUUCGGGUUGUAAACCGCUUUCGCCUGUGACGAAGCGUGAGUGACGGUAAUGGGCAAAGAAGCACCGGCUAACUACGUG